CACACACACACACACACGCACACACACACAUACAUACACGCCUAUUAUGUCCGAGGACCAUGGUAAACUACCUUCUUUUGAGGACAGGUGUUAUCUAGCUCUAAUGGACAUAAUGGUGAAAAGACUCCUUAAAAAAGAGAGUGCUUUUAAGGACGCUCACAAAAUUGAAUGCGUUUUUUUAAGUUUAAAAAUUUAUCAUAGACCUAUACAUCAGAGGACAUGAUUCUUGUUUUGGUAUACGUCUGAGGUGGCUUUCUCUAAUGUUAAAAUGUCAUAUUUCAGCAUUCGACAGAGGUCAACCACGCACACUUAUCAAGAUUGCGUAAACUUACGAGGACAUUGUAUUGAAUAGGUAACACAGCUCAAGUUUACAUAAAUGUACGAGGACAACAUGCGUUACAAAUGUAACACAGUCUUUGUUUGUAUAAACUUAUGAGGACAUAUCAACACAGAUAAAGUUUCUGUAAACUUAUGAGGACAUCACACAAAUCAAGUUUGCAGCAACACACGAGGUCUUAUUGCACAGGUAUUUCACACAUACCAAGUUUGCGCAAUCUUAUGAGGACAUUGUAUUGAAUAGGUAACACAGCUCAAGUUUGCAUAAAUGUACGAGGACAACAUGUGUUGCAAAUGAAACACAGUCUUUGUUUGUAUAAACUUAUGAGGACAUAUAAACUUUAUCUGUUUAUUUUGCACAGGUAUUUAUCUCUUUUAGCGAUCAUGAGGAGUUUAUCUCAACAAGGUUCCACUUUACAUCAUUCAGAUACAAGCAAAUUUAAACACUUCAAGUACACAUGUAGAUCAUUUUCAAAGAUUUGUUUUUAAUAAAACUCAACACUGACAACAGGAACUUGACAUACAUGCAGUUAGUCAUUCAUAAUGCAUAAAUAACUUUUCUCUUACAUGUACAAAAUCUCAGAAAU
Strongylocentrotus purpuratus (purple sea urchin) is the source of this 923-nucleotide long non-coding RNA. RefSeq lists it as uncharacterized. Lineage: Eukaryota; Metazoa; Echinodermata; Echinoidea; Camarodonta; Strongylocentrotidae. The record is from RefSeq and is a predicted model, not a curated record. The transcript has 2 exons.